CUUUCCCUCUUUCUUCAGGCCUAACACAUGCAAGUCGAGCGGAUGCAGGGUGAUUGCUCGCGGAUUCGGGGGCGGAGUGGUGAGCAAGGGCUAGAAAUCUGGGAAUCUGUGUGUGAUAACGUCAGAAAACGGGCGCACAUACGGCAUAAGUGCAGAGGGCGUACGUGUGAAAGCAGGGGAUCUUCGGACCUUGGGUGAGCCAAGGAGCCGAUGUCGGAUUAGCUAGUUGGUGGGGUAAAGGCCCACCAAGGCGACGAUCCGUAGCUGGUCUGAGAGGAUGAUCAGUCACACUGGAACUGAGACACGGUCCAGACUCCUACGGGAGGCAGCAGUGGGGAAUAUUGGACAAUGGGCGAAAGCCUGAUCCAGCCAUGCCGCGUGUGUGAAGAAGGUCUUCGGAUUGUAAAGCCCUUUUGUUGGGGAAGAAGGGCAGUAAGUUAAUACCUCGCUGUUUUGACGUUACCCAAAGAAUAAGCACCGGCUAACUUCGUG
Molecule: ribosomal RNA, 492 nt
Filed under: uncultured bacterium
Lineage: Bacteria
Description: partial 16S ribosomal RNA
Rfam family: Bacterial small subunit ribosomal RNA
Source: RNAcentral